RNAcentral lists this transfer RNA (85 nucleotides) under Verrucomicrobiota bacterium. RNAcentral's name for it is "Verrucomicrobia bacterium tRNA-Ser". It matches the Rfam family "tRNA". Rfam says of the family: Transfer RNA (tRNA) molecules are approximately 80 nucleotides in length. Their secondary structure includes four short double-helical elements and three loops (D, anti-codon, and T loops). Further hydrogen bonds mediate the characteristic L-shaped molecular structure. tRNAs have two regions of fundamental functional importance: the anti-codon, which is responsible for specific mRNA codon recognition, and the 3' end, to which the tRNAs corresponding amino acid is attached (by aminoacyl-tRNA synthetases). tRNAs cope with the degeneracy of the genetic code in two manners: having more than one tRNA (with a specific anti-codon) for a particular amino acid; and 'wobble' base-pairing, i.e. permitting non-standard base-pairing at the 3rd anti-codon position. Lineage: Bacteria; Pseudomonadati; Verrucomicrobiota. The record is from RNAcentral. RNAcentral also lists the same sequence under 1 other name.
GGAGGGGUGGCAGAGCGGUUGAUUGCGCCGGUCUUGAAAACCGGAAGGCCCAAAGGCCUCGUGAGUUCGAAUCUCACCCCCUCCG